RNAcentral lists this ribosomal RNA (2947 nucleotides) under Gammaproteobacteria bacterium. Its description in RNAcentral is "23S ribosomal RNA". It matches the Rfam family "Bacterial large subunit ribosomal RNA". Lineage: Bacteria; Pseudomonadati; Pseudomonadota; Gammaproteobacteria. The record is from RNAcentral.
UGGUCAAGCUACUAAGGGCAUAUGAUGGAUGCCUUGGCACCAACAGGCGAUGAAGGACGUGGUAAGCUGCGAUAAGCUUCGGGGAGCGGCACGCGCGCUUUGAUCCGGAGAUUUCCGAAUGGGGCAACCCAUCCUCUGUCAUGAGAGGAUAUCCCAUACUGAAUACAUAGGUAUGGGAAGCAAUACCCAGGGAAGUGAAACAUCUCAGUACCUGGAGGAGUAGAAAUCAACCGAGAUUCCGCAAGUAGUGGCGAGCGAACGCGGAACAGCCUAAACCGGCGGGCUUGCCUGCCGGGGUUGCGGGACCUGCAUAACGGUACGCUAGAAGCUAGCAGAAACUUCUGGAAAGCUGUGGCAUAGAAGGUGAAACCCCUGUACGCGAAAGCGGACGGCGGCUAAGCAGGUAUCCCAAGUAGGGCGGAACACGUGAAACUCCGUCUGAAUCCGGGGGGACCACCCUCCAAGGCUAAAUACUCGUUGGUGACCGAUAGUGAACCAGUACCGUGAGGGAAAGGUGAAAAGAACCCCUGUUCGGGGAGUGAAAUAGAACCUGAAAUCAUAUGUCUACAAACUGUAGGAGCCCUUCGGGGCGACUGCAUGCCUUUUGCAUAAUGAGCCUGCGAGUUACUUUCUGCAGCAAGGUUAAGCCAAUGGCGGAGCCGAAGCGAAAGCGAGUGUGAAUAGCGCGUCUAGUUGUAGGGAGUAGACCCGAAACCAAGUGAUCUAUCCAUGGCCAGGCUGAAUCCUCUGUAACAGGAGGUGGAGGGCCGAACCAGUACGUGUUGAAAAACGUUUGGAUGAGCUGUGGAUAGGGGUGAAAGGCCAAUCAAACUUGGUGAUAGCUGGUUCUCUCCGAAAUAGCUUUAGGGCUAGCCUCGUGUUAUAGCAUACGGGGGUAGAGCACUGAUUAUUCGCGGGCCCUUACCCGGGUACCAACAAUAGUCAAACUCCGAAUACCGUAUUGCCUUAUCACGGGAGUCAGACUGCGGGGGAUAAGCUCCGUAGUCGAAAGGGAAACAGCCCAGCCCGCCGGCUAAGGUCCCUAAUUCGAACUGAGUGGUUGGAAGGAUGUGGAGUUGCAUAGACAGCCAGGAUGUUGGCUUAGAGGCAGCCAUCAUUUAAAGAGUGCGUAAUAGCUCACUGGUCGAGUGAUUCUGCGCCGAAAAUGAUCGGGACUAAGUUCGGAACCGAAGCCGCGGUUGCCCUGUUUAGGCAGGGCGAGGUAGGAGAGCGUUGUAUGCGGGCUGAAGCUCAGCCGUAAGGAUGGGUGGACUGCAUACAAGUGAUCAUGCAGGCAUGAGUAGCGAUAAGGAAGGUGAGAAUCCUUCCCACCGAAAAUCCAAGGUUUCCUGGGCAAGGUUCGUCCCCCCAGGGUUAGUCGGAUCCUAAGGCGAGGCCGAAAGGCGUAGUCGAUGGACAACAGGUUAAUAUUCCUGUACUUCUCUAUCGGAGCGAUGGAGGGACGCAGUAUGCUAGGCUGGCUGCCGACUGGAAGUGGCAGUCCAAGCGUGUAGGGUGGCCGGAUAGGAAAAUCCGCCGGCCUCUAACCUGAGGCGUGAUGGGACGUGGCGUCGACAGACAAAGCGAAUCAGCUGAUGCUCCGCUGCCUAGAAAAGCUUCUAAGCGUUGAUGAUAGGGAAUCCGUACCGUAAACCGACACAGGUAGAUGAGGCGAGAAGCCUAAGGUGCGCGAGAGAAACCACGUUAAGGAACUCGGCAAAAUGACCCCGUAACUUCGGGAGAAGGGGUGCCUCCAGCCGUGAUCAGACUUGCUCUGUGAGCAACUGGAGGUCGCAGAUAAGAGGCCCAGGCGACUGUUUAGCAAAAACACAGCACUCUGCUAACUCGUUAAGAGGAUGUAUAGGGUGUGACACGUGACCAAUGCCGAAAGGUCAAGCGGAUGAGUUAGUCUUCGGACGAAGCCCGGAAGCGAAGCCCCGGUGAAUGUCGGCCGUAACUAUAACGGUCCUAAGGUAGCGAAAUUCCUUGUCGGGUAAGUUCCGACCUGCACGAAUCGUGUAACGAUCUGGGCACUGUCUCAACGUGGUUCUCGGCGAAAUUGUAAUUCCGGUGAAAAUGCCGGAUACCCGCGGUAGGACGGAAAGACCCCGUGAACCUUUACUGUAAUCUGAUAUUGGCAUUUGGUUAUUCAUGUGUAGGAUAGGUGGGAGUCUGCGAAGCGAUCUCGUCAGGGGUCGCGGAGACAUUGGUGAAAUACCACCCUUGGAUGGUUGAAUGUCUAACCUUGACCCGUGAAUCCGGGCAAGGAACAGUGUCAGAGGGUCAGUUUGACUGGGGCGGUUUCCUCCCAAAUUGUAACGGAGGAGUUCGAAGGUCUGCUCAGCAUGGUUGGCAAUCAUGCGUAGAGCGCAAGGGUAUAAGCAGGCCUUACUGCGAGACCGACGGGUCGAGCAGUUGCGAAAGCAGGACCUAGUGAUCCAGCGGUUAAAUGUGGAAUUGCCGUUGCUCAUCGGAUAAAAGGUACUCCGGGGAUAACAGGCUGAUCGCGCCCAAGCGUCCAUAGCGACGGCGCGGUUUGGCACCUCGAUGUCGGCUCAUCACAUCCUGGGGCUGAAGAAGGUCCCAAGGGUUUGGCUGUUCGCCAAUUAAAGUGGUACGCGAGCUGGGUUUAGAACGUCGUGAGACAGUUCGGUCCCUAUCUGUUGUGGGCGUAGGAGAUUUGAAGGAACCUGUUCCUAGUACGAGAGGACCGGAAUGGACAUACCUCUAGUGUAUCUGUUGUCGCGCCAGCGGCAUUGCAGAGUAGCUAUGUUCGGCAGGGAUAAACGCUGAAAGCAUAUAAGCGUGAAGCCCCUCUCAAGAUUAGUUCUCCCUAGAUUUUUAAUCUCUAAAGACUCCUCGUAGACGACGAGGUUGAUAGGCUGCAGGUGUAAGCACAGCGAUGUGUUCAGCCGAGCAGUACUAAUAAGCCGUGAGGCUUGACCAU